RNAcentral lists this ribosomal RNA (253 nucleotides) under uncultured bacterium. RNAcentral's name for it is "partial 16S ribosomal RNA". It matches the Rfam family "Bacterial small subunit ribosomal RNA", at positions 524 to 776 of the family's 1533-position model. The record is from RNAcentral.
GACGGAGGAUGUAAGUGUUAUCCGGAAUCACUGGGCGUAAAGCGUCUGUAGGUGGUUCGAAAAGUCCACUGUUAAAAAUUGAAGCUUAACUUCAAAGAUGCCGUGGAAACUUUCAAACUAGAGUGUGGUAGGGGUAGAGGGAAUUUCCAGUGGAGCGGUGAAAUGCGUAGAUAUUGGAAAGACCACCGAUGGCGAAGGCACUCUACUGGGCCAUUACUGACACUGAGAGACGAAAGCUAGGGGAGCAAAUGGG